UCUAAGGAAACUGCCGGUGAUAAGCCGGAGGAAGGUGGGGAUGACGUCAAGUCCUCAUGGCCCUUACGCGCUGGGCUACACACGUGCUACAAUGGCGGUGACAGUGGGCAGCAAACUCGCGAGAGUGAGCAAAUCCCCAAAAACCGUCUCAGUUCGGAUUGUUCUCUGCAACUCGAGAGCAUGAAGGCGGAAUCGCUAGUAAUCGCGGAUCAGCAUGCCGCGGUGAAUACGUUCCCAGGCCUUGUACACACCGCCCGUCACACCAUGGGAGUUGGUUUCACCCGAAGGCAGUGCGCUAACCGCAAGGAGGCAGCUGACCACGGUGGGAUCAGCGACUGGGGUGAAGUCGUAACAAGGUAGCCGUAGGGGAACCUGCGGCUGGAUCACCUCCUUA
Molecule: ribosomal RNA, 394 nt
Filed under: uncultured bacterium
Lineage: Bacteria
Description: bacterial SSU rRNA
Rfam family: Bacterial small subunit ribosomal RNA
Source: RNAcentral